Molecule: ribosomal RNA, 445 nt
Filed under: uncultured bacterium
Lineage: Bacteria
Description: partial 16S ribosomal RNA
Rfam family: Bacterial small subunit ribosomal RNA
Source: RNAcentral
GUGAGGAAUAUUGCGCAAUGGAGGCAACUCUGACGCAGCCAUGCCGCGUGCAGGAAGAAGGCGCUACGCGUUGUAAACUGCUUUUAACCGGGAAGAAACCCCAGGACGUGUCCUGGGUUGACGGUACCGGAGGAAUAAGCACCGGCUAACUUCGUGCCAGCAGCCGCGGUAAUACGAAGGGUGCAAGCGUUAUCCGGAUUCAUUGGGUUUAAAGGGUGCGUAGGCGGAGCGUUAAGUCAGUGGUGAAAUCCUGCAGCUUAACUGUAGACUUGCCAUUGAUACUGGCGCUCUUGAGUGCGCGUGAAGGGGGCGGAAUGUGCCGUGUAGCGGUGAAAUGCUUAGAUAUGGCACAGAACACCAAUUGCGAAGGCAGCUCACUAAGGCGAUACUGACGCUGAGGCACGAAAGCGUGGGGAUCGAACAGGAUUAGAAACCCUGGUAGUCC